CGUGCAAUCAGCUCUGCGUCACUUCUCAGGAAGGGAAAGGGAUGCCAAUGCCCUGGCAGGCCACUAAAAGACUUUCCCCAGUCUUGGAAAUAAGAAUCUCUUGUUCCUUGUGGGUGUGGGAGGAGAGGGAGGACACAAGCUACAUCCAGCUUUCUUUUCCUCAGAAUUGAGUCACUGGCUCUUGAAAUGAUAAAUAACAGCGCAUCUGAUUGGGAUGUUUUGCAUCCCUCAUGAAUGGAAACAACUGAGCGAGGAGUGGAAGUCAGGAAAGCCGGCAGUGGUCUCUGAAACUUCGGACCCCUAAGUGGUGGCACGCGGCUUCUCCAAACAGGUUGCCGCGAUCAAUUUCACUUGCAUGCCCGCUUCACAACUGUGGCUUCUUGCCGUUGCCCACUGAAAGACUUGGCCACUGCUGCCCCCUGAUGGAUUAAUAAAUCCCUCUCCAUCUGUACAGGUGAAGGAGGAUAUGGCUCUACUAGGAAGACACCACUGGGGAUUGUGGAAAAAGAAGAAGAGGUUGAUCCGAUUAAUGCAUGGCCAUUGGUUAUUCUUGAGCGUUGGAUGGAUGGACAAGAACAUUCAUUGUUCCAGACAGCAAGGCCAUUGCAUUAUCUGGAGGACCAAGUUGGAGAAAGCUGACGUGUACAAACAGCAAAAACCAAGAGCCGUCCCUCCCACUGAAAUAAUUUCUAUGCAAAUUGUUUUAUCUAGCAAAGGCAAAAUUGUGCCAAGAUCUUAAUCUUUCCUAGAAUGACUCCCUUUUAAGUUCCUUCAACUUAAUUCCGACAGAUUGCCAACAAAAAAAAACAACACCCCCAAAAAAACCCAAACAAAAAACACAAAUGGGGUGUGCAUAUGCGCGCCAGCUUGCCUACCAUCCCUGUCC
This is a long non-coding RNA of Ahaetulla prasina, 886 nucleotides long. RefSeq lists it as uncharacterized. The transcript has 3 exons. Lineage: Eukaryota; Metazoa; Chordata; Lepidosauria; Squamata; Colubridae. The record is from RefSeq and is a predicted model, not a curated record.